This 1707-nucleotide ribosomal RNA is filed under the name Triticum aestivum (bread wheat). Its description in RNAcentral is "partial small subunit ribosomal RNA". The record is from RNAcentral. Lineage: Eukaryota; Viridiplantae; Streptophyta; Magnoliopsida; Poales; Poaceae.
AUGUGGUGGCGGCAUUACCCCCGCAACCACGUGGGCGAUGACAAGACGCAGUUCGUUGCCGUCGCCACCGGUGGUUUCAGGCGCAGCAUGUGCAUACCGUGGGAGGUUGCAAACCAUUUGGGGAGCAUGAUCUCCGAGACCAUCAAACUAGAAGCUCCUAAUGGCAUAUUCCUUAUUGGAGUGUGUAGAAAGACGGGUGAGCUAGUUCUUCGGGCUGGCUGGGAUAAGUUUGUCGCAAUGCAUCACAUAAAAGAAAAUUAUUCUUUUUGGUUUGUGUACCGUGGGAACUCUACCUUUAAGGUUCAUAUAUUCAAUUCUAACGGUCAUGAGAAGGCUACUUCCUGUUCUAAACCACCUUCUGAGAGCUUUGGUGGUGUUCCACCUGCUGCAACUUGCGAUCAUCAUGUGCUGAAUGAACAAGUACCGUCUGUUUCUGGAAAUGUUCAGACCUCAACUGACUCUGGCUAUAGCAUGUUACCUGGCUGCCAUCUAACCAAAGCACAAGAUGAGAAAGUACGUGAACUAGCUUGUACCAUGAGAUCUCAAGUUCCCCUUUAUGUGGCAGUCAUGAACAAAAGCAAUGUCAACUUGAAGGAUUGCUCUGUUAACCUACCGUUAAAGCUUGUGGAACAUUUCAAGGAGGACACAUCUAAAGCUACUAUUCAACUAGAAGCCCCUAAUGACAUGAUAUAUGGUGUUGAAGCUUGCAAGCAUGGUGAUGAUCAAAUAGUCCUUCAAUAUGGGUGGAAUAAUCUUGUAGAUGCUAAUCGCAUACAAGAGAAUGACCUCCUUGUUUUUAUAACCAAGGGUACCAAACGCCUUGAAGUUCGUAUUCUUGGCACAAGUGUUCAUCAGAGAACCUCUUCAUGCUUUGACGUGGGAAAUAUUUCUAGUACUCAAGAAAUUCGUGAAGAUUCACUUGAAAUAACUGAUCCACCCCCUCAUACAGACUACUAUGUGAGUAGUUCUGAUGAUGAUCACAUUAUGGAAGAAGGAUACUAUGUGAGUAGUUCUGAUGAUGAUCACAUUGCGGAAGAAGACUAUGUGAGUAGUUCUGAUGCUGAUCACAUUGUGGAAGAAGGCACUAGAAAAUCAGGUAGGCGGCAGAAGCAGGCACCUAGUCGCUAUGCAAAAGCUCAAAAGGUGGCUUCAACAUCCUCCCCGUCUGCUGCUAAAUCAGGUUAUAGUGCUAUAUAUACGAGAUAUGAAGCUCACAAGCUGAAUGAGCGAGCAUCUGUGGAGUUUGGGAUCAAUUUGGAACCUCAUAGCUCCACCAGCAAUCUCGAGGGCCCUUCCCAGUAUCCCUACGUUUUAUCUGAAGGAAGGACAAGUCUAAGUAGUGUGGAGAAGGAGAAAGUUGAGGAGAAAGUUCAAGCAAUUCAAUCUGAACUUCCUAUCUUUGUGGUAGUAAUGACUAAAAGCCGGAUUAAUGCCGAUCAAUUGGGCUUCCGCAUGGAAUACGGUGCAAGACAUAUUCCACACUUAGGCAGAAAAAUGGAUCUCAUGCUUCAGGCAGAGGGAGGUACCGAGCAGCGCACCAGAUUGGUGAUAGAUCAGAACGGAAAGAGGUGGAUUCGUCGUGGCUGGCAGCAAUUUGUCACCGAGAAUAAAGUGCGGGAGGGGGAUAUCUGCCUCUUUGAACGGGGAGAGAGCACGAAAAAGCUCAGGAUGACGGUCUAUUUCAUCCGCAAGUCAAGUCAGACAUAG